UAUUCUGUUCGCUGUCCGUCAUUAAAUCAUUGAUCAAUAUUUUGCCACGAAGUACAAUCGAUGGAGAAUACCACGGAAUAUUAAAGUGUUUUUUAAGACAGCUUCUGAAUAUAAUGUUGUGAGCUUGUGCUCUGAUGAUGUUAACGUGUGAGACAUCGCACCGGUCCCAUACAAUGUAAUCGUGGAAUUAUUUGGUAUCGGAGAGGAAUCAGCGGUGGCAUCGAAUUGGGAGACGACGACGAGCCGUAAAUCGGAAUCAAAGCCAGAUAUCGAUUACUAUCGAACGAGACGCGCUCCCGCUGGGGACGAGACGACCUUUACAACAUACGAGACGAUCACGACUCCUCUCUACAUACAUUAUACGAUACGAAACAGAAGAGUGGCCGAGCGCCGUGUGAAUCUUAAAUAAUUCAAUUUGGAAUUAUGUCUCGUGUAAAAACUAUAAAAGUUUUAUUGAUAUGAGAGGCCUUUAAAGUUGGAUGUACGUCAUUUAACAAGAAUAAAAUAUUAGAGAUAUACACACGAUGUGCAGGCUACAGCUGGGAG
This is a long non-coding RNA of Danaus plexippus (monarch butterfly), 546 nucleotides long. RefSeq lists it as uncharacterized. The transcript has 3 exons. The record is from RefSeq and is a predicted model, not a curated record. Lineage: Eukaryota; Metazoa; Arthropoda; Insecta; Lepidoptera; Nymphalidae.